GAAGGAGAAGGGGGAAUUAGCGUGCAUUUUGGGCAUUUGAAGAUCAACAAGAUGUCCAAUAUUUAGAGAGAAAUGCCAAAAAUGGAAUUAUGCUCCCAGAUAUAUUUUAAUACGCUUCGGCUUAGCUUCAUAAAUUUUGUUCUUUUCUUUCAUAUUUUAUCUCUAAAUAACCCGACUCGUUGUAAUGUAACGGUUGAAAGUAGUAGUUAGUUUAGUUAGGGAGGGGUCAUCUGACAAGUGACGAUCAAAUCUUUCCUCGUACGACUCAAACUUCUAAAGAGCAAAAGCUGAAAGCGGUAGUAGGAUUGGAAUGUCGAUUCUCUUAGCUUUGUUUGUGGCUACGUUCACGCCUCUUGUCUCAUUCCUCGAAUCAACGACGGCUUUGACUUCUCAAGUCAGCACUCGGACUGCUUUGUCCGGAGACUCGCCGACGACAUGCGACUCUCUAUUACGCGAAGUCAAGGAAGCCCAGUUUAAGCUCGCUCAAUUAGAGUCUGCACUUGUGAAAAGCUCCCAGGAUUUGAAUGCUAAAGGUCUACAUGCCAGAGAAUGUGAGAAGAAAAUUGAGGACUUGAACCUUGAGAUAGAUCUUCUAAAGACUGCUUUAAAAAGCUUUGAGGAUGUUUCCUCACAUGCAAAGGAAAAGCUUUCUGCUCUUGAAGGAGAGCUUCAACUUCUUUGGUCUGUCUCAAGGAGAAACAAUUUUGAGAUCCACACGCUUGAGCAUAGAGUACAUGAUGCUGAAAAGAGAUUAAAUGCAGUUACAUCAAAAGCGGAAAAGAUGGCUGAUAUUGUAUCUGAACAGUGGAUUCAAAUUCAGCAACUUGAACAAGCUGUUCAAAUGAUACAGGUGAGGGCAUUGAAGGUUAGAAGGCAGCUGAGGACCGCAAGAUGUCCAUUUGUGAAGUUUGUGAGAAGUUUAUUUGCUGAACGCCUUGAAAUGCUAAAGGGGAUUCUAGACCCAUAUAUAGCCACAGGAAGGUCCGUUUUGGAGAGGUCUCCACAUCAUCUGCAGAGAACCUUUUCAACAGUAGAAUAUUGCCAUCACUGGAUCUGAUUUUGGAUGGUGGUUACCAAUGAAGUAUCAAUCAACCAUAAAGAAAAUUCUUUUCCUGCGAACUUGCAAGUCAGGCCAAUAAUGUUGGAUCUUUGCUUUUGUUUUGCCUCUUAGUAUUGGGGUACUGAUAGUAAUGGAUGGUUUGGCACCUUGAGACACAGUUUUUGCUCUCUUGAUAUCACUCAUCGUAAAUUAUUUUUCUUUUGAUCCUGUUUUGGACAAAGCCUGCUUUCUUGCUCAAGUAUACAUGGUGAACUUGCUGUGACUUGGACUUGGAGUACUAUCAAAAUGAAUUGUGUUAAAAACCAUUACAAUCGACAUUUCCUCACAAGAUUUCGUUUGUUCUCUUUGAUUGAUCUAAGUGGCUUGAAAUCAACUGAAUUGGCUGGUUCUCAAGCUGAUUUUCUGCUUGUACUCUUUUCACGUCCACUUCCUAUACACGAACAGUGGCAUAUUUUGGACAGACUAAUGGCUUAAUUUCUUGCAGUAGACUGACUGGGAGGGAUUUUUGGAUGAUCUUAACACGUGUAUUAUUUAGUUACAAGGUUGUAUCAAGCAGUCAAUGUUGAGGAAUGAGUUUACUGCAGUUCUUGCUAACGACGAAGUGGUGUUUUUUCUGGCUUCAGCAUUGGUC
This is an RNA transcript of Coffea eugenioides, 1691 nucleotides long. RefSeq lists it as uncharacterized. The record is from RefSeq and is a predicted model, not a curated record. The transcript is spliced from 9 exons. Lineage: Eukaryota; Viridiplantae; Streptophyta; Magnoliopsida; Gentianales; Rubiaceae.